CUGUGUACGUGUUUGAUCUCCCCAUUAUCAUACAUUGAGAUCUUCUUUGUACAGGGACCGUAUUCAAUUCAUCUUAGUUUCCCUAACUUCUGGUACAUUAUUGGUACAAUGAACAACUCAUUGAUUGAAUCAAUCUUCUUUUCUCCCUCACAGGUCAUCUAGUCCAGCUGCUAAUUUAACUGAUUUGUUAAUUAAGGUCAAGGGAGUUUGUGGGACUUUCUCGCAAAACACCCAGCAAGUUAGUGUCCAUAGUGGGUCUCAAAUCCUGAUCUCCUCUUCUCCUUCUUCCUCUUCCUCCUCCUCCUCCUCCUCCUCCUUCUUUUUCAAAUCCUGAUUUCUUGACUGUCACUCUUCUCAUCUCUGUUCUUACUUUGAUUCAGCUGCCUCAAUUGGUCUAAAAAUAAGCAAUCAUUUGAAUAUCACUAGAACCAGGAAACUGGAGAUAUGCAUCUACUUAUAGAGUCAUGCUUUGAGAGCCACGAUGACUCAUUUAUGAAGAAAACGUGCCCAGGAGCUUUGUCUCAGUCUGUGUUAUAAUUGUCUUUAGAGAGUAGAAGUUUGUGCUUUAUCUUAGCAGGCUGAGCUCGAUGAAAUACCCUGGAAAGCUCUGAGGACUCCUACGUGGAGGUCAGGGAUGCAGAAGCCUCCGUAUUGCUGUUCCAUAUGCCUGUUUGCCCUUCCUAUUAGAAGGCUGGGAAUAUAAUUAGGAGACAGGCACCACAGAUGCCGCAGUUUACAAUAACCAGAAGAAACCGUCGAAACGGUUGGCUGUUUAUGCUUUUUACUCCCACUGUACUGUGAGCCCCUGGAGCAGAAAAAUUGGACAUCAUUCAUGCUUUUAUCCCCAGGACCAGGAAAAAAAAAAAAAAAAAGCCUGCCUGUCCUUAAGGCUGCUACAUGGCCCAGCUCCAGAGGCCCCACUGGAGUCUGCUUUGGAAACUGUGUCUCCCUCUCUCACUCUGUACCGCCCCGGCUCAUUCUCUCUCUCUCUCUCUCUCUCUCUCUCUCUCUCUCUCUCUCU
Molecule: long non-coding RNA, 1021 nt
Organism: Neofelis nebulosa (Clouded leopard)
Lineage: Eukaryota; Metazoa; Chordata; Mammalia; Carnivora; Felidae
Exons: 2
Source: RefSeq, a predicted model, not a curated record